CACGGGAAAUGGUCGGGAUAGCUCAGUUGGUAGAGCAGCGGACUGAUUCC
This 50-nucleotide transfer RNA is filed under the name Aphandra natalia. Its description in RNAcentral is "partial transfer RNA-Phe". Lineage: Eukaryota; Viridiplantae; Streptophyta; Magnoliopsida; Arecales; Arecaceae. The record is from RNAcentral.